AGCGGCGCCCCCACGGGGACCCACGGCCAGGGACAGCAGUUCCCCCCCAGCUGGCAGCAGCUCCCCCAGGGCCCCCCCUGGCCCUUCCUCGGCUCCUCCCAGUGACCCAAAACCCCCAAAAUUUACCC
This is a long non-coding RNA of Catharus ustulatus (Swainson's thrush), 128 nucleotides long. RefSeq lists it as uncharacterized. Lineage: Eukaryota; Metazoa; Chordata; Aves; Passeriformes; Turdidae. The record is from RefSeq and is a predicted model, not a curated record. The transcript has 2 exons.